This 222-nucleotide long non-coding RNA is filed under the name Hordeum vulgare. Its description in RNAcentral is "long non-coding RNA (HVUL_LNC007137)". The record is from RNAcentral. Lineage: Eukaryota; Viridiplantae; Streptophyta; Magnoliopsida; Poales; Poaceae.
UUGGACAUGUCAAGAUUGCUUUCGUUUGGAGUUGGUUGCAAUCUUGUGGAGUGUAUUUCAUCCAAGUACCUACACAAGGUUAGAUACAAUACAAGGGAGCAUAGUUUCCAAGACAUAAGAUGGUCAUAUCAAUGGCAUCAAGGAAUAGUCAGUCAAGCUCAUGCCCUUGCAUGCAUCCGAGUGAGCCUAGCUCAAGUUUGAAGCAUCAAUAAUGUUCAACUC